UCCAAAUUUGUACUGCUCUAGGUGGAAGAGAGUUUUAUGAUGCAGAAGAAACAAUUAAAUUAUUGGCCCAAUUCCAAAUCCCCAAACCUAAUAUCCGUUUUGAUCUCUCUCUAGCCUCUACAGACCUAUAAGUAAACCAUUUUUUCCAAUUUCAAACCUCCAAUUCCAUCUCCAUUCUCUGAAAUUUGAAUCGUCUUCUCCAGCUAGCUAUUUAUUUUUUAUUGUGGUUUUAUGUAUACCGUAUCAAGUGUAUAAUUAUUCUCCAACUGUUGAUUUGUGCAAACGUGAAGCGGUGUAGGAAAAGCUUGAAAUUUGAGCAUAUUCUCCUAUUCUUAAACAGGUAGAGACCAGUAAUCCAAACUAGACAUAAUCAUGGAGAAAUCUCAAUACUUUGCUGCUGCAAUUCUUUUGAUAGUCACUCGAAUGGUGUGUUUGGCCGUGUCGGAAACGAAUGUCACUACAGAUCAAGCUUCUCUUUUGACAUUGAAAGCACAAAUCUGUUUAGACUCUUCAGGAAUUCUGUCGAAGAACUGGUCAUCUUCUGCCUUGGUUUGUGACUGGAUUGGAGCCACUUGUAGUUCUCGCGACCAAAGAGUGGCUGCAUUGGAUAUUUCUGGUAUGAAUCUUACUGGAAACGUACGGUCUGAUUUGUGAAAUCUCUCUUUCUUGUUUCUCUCAAUGUAAGUCACAAUAAUUUUUAUAAUACUCUGCCUGAAAGCUUAGCUCAAUUGCGUCAACUAAGAAUAGUUUAUAUCAGUUUCAACAAUUUCAGUGGACAAAUUCCAUCGUGGUUUGGUUUCAUGCCUGAACUGAAAGUUGUGAAUGUUAGAAAUAACAAUUUUACUGGCUUCAUCCCACCCUCACUAUUUAACAUAUCUAGUCUCCAGGAUUUGGAUUUGUCUUUCAAUUCCCUACCAAGAAGAGUCCCAGAAGACAUAGGAAAUCUUUCAUAUUUGAAAACGCUGAAAUUACAAUACAACAGGCUUAUUGGUGUAAUACCGUUGACAAUUUUCAAUAUCUCCACAAUGGAAAGUCUUGCUUUGAUAGGGAAUAGUUUGUUCGGUAAUUUCCCUGUUGGCAUAUGUCAUGGACUUCCAAGAGUCACAGGGCUUUAUCUAUCUUCAAGUGAAUUGGAUGGCGAUAUUCCUUUGUAUCUAUCAGAAUGUUCACAACUUCAGCUCCUUUCCCUGUCACACAACAAAUUUAGCGGAUCCAUUCCAAGAGAAAUUGGGUGCAUAAGGAUGCUUCAGACUUUAUAUCUUGUUUCAAAUGAUUUGUUAGUUAUUUGAAUCAUCAUUGAUGUUGUGUUAGUACUUCAAAUUCUUAUUUAAAAUGAUUUU
Olea europaea var. sylvestris is the source of this 1340-nucleotide long non-coding RNA. RefSeq lists it as uncharacterized. The transcript has 3 exons. NCBI's taxonomy places the organism in Eukaryota, Viridiplantae, Streptophyta, Magnoliopsida, Lamiales, Oleaceae. The record is from RefSeq and is a predicted model, not a curated record.